This 468-nucleotide ribosomal RNA is filed under the name uncultured bacterium. Its description in RNAcentral is "partial 16S ribosomal RNA". It matches the Rfam family "Bacterial small subunit ribosomal RNA", at positions 28 to 507 of the family's 1533-position model. The record is from RNAcentral.
GACGAACGCUGGCGGCGUGCUUAACACAUGCAAGUCGAACGGAAAGGCCCUGCUUUUGUGGGGUGCUCGAGUGGCGAACGGGUGAGUAACACGUGAGUAACCUGCCCUUGACUUUGGGAUAACUUCAGGAAACUGGGGCUAAUACCGGAUAGGAGCCCCUGCUGCAUGGUGGGGGUUGGAAAGUUUCGGCGGUUGGGGAUGGACUCGCGGCUUAUCAGCUUGUUGGUGGGGUAGUGGCUUACCAAGGCUUUGACGGGUAGCCGGCCUGAGAGGGUGACCGGCCACAUUGGGACUGAGAUACGGCCCAGACUCCUACGGGAGGCAGCAGUGGGGAAUAUUGCACAAUGGGCGGAAGCCUGAUGCAGCAACGCCGCGUGCGGGAUGACGGCCUUCGGGUUGUAAACCGCUAUCGCCUGUGACGAAGCGUGAGUGACGGUAAUGGGUAAAGAAGCACCGGCUAACUACGUG